This 6821-nucleotide ribosomal RNA is filed under the name Triticum aestivum (bread wheat). RNAcentral describes it as "partial small subunit ribosomal RNA". The record is from RNAcentral. Lineage: Eukaryota; Viridiplantae; Streptophyta; Magnoliopsida; Poales; Poaceae.
GGAGCGAGGCGGACGGCGACAUGAUGCGGAGGUGUAGCGAAGGCGGGCAGCGACAUGAAGCGGAGGUGUAGCGGUACUUCCACCAGGAAGCGACUGGACAAGUAGGUAGCGAGCAGAACAAGCAGAGAGACAAGAGGCCAGGAGCAGCAGCAGUUCGACCUAGCUCUCAAGCACCCUGCAGUGGCUCGGCUUGCACACGUCUAGCGCCUCCACGGCAUGAAAGCCAUGAUCCUAGCCAGCCUAGCACUUCUGCAUGCUGAUGUAUUUGGUGCAACAGUAUUGCGAAGGCGAAUGCCAGAUGCUCCCCUAACCGUAGUAGCCAAGUAUUAGUUCAAACUGAGCAAUAGAUUAGACGACCCGUAUAGCUGAGACGCCGAUUCCACGCGAAGGGUGAGAAAAAUUGAACAAAGCCAACUAACACGAACCUAACGCAGACGAAUAAGCGUCAAUAAAAGCAACGCGUUAAACACUAUAAACACUUUACGGUGUAGAAACUAUACUAGAGAAUAUCGAUUCUUUUCCAUUUUUUUGUAGGAAAACAGAAGGUUGAGUUGUCAAUAAACUGUAACGAUUUUAUAUUGGUAAAAUAAAAGGAAUUGAUAUAGAACUGAUAUAUCCAGUUGUGACUGAACAAAAACCGUGUGUACCAAGGGUAACGGAACAAUACUUUGUUCCUUAUUCGUCUAUGGUUUUAAAUCCCAGCUAGCUACCCAUGCUUUGUGUAUACAGUUACUUCAUUGAAACCCCUUGGUACUUGAGUUUUUAAAUCCUCGUGAACUGUCGCUCUGCCUCAAUUGACUUUCACUAGAUGUUUAUUAGCACAGUAAGAGAACAUACUCUAGACUUCGUUCCAACAACCCAGUCAAGAACAAAACGAAACUCUAAAGUCAAAGACGGAUACAAUGAAACAACUACGAGUACUCCACAAAGAACAAUACAGACGAAGUUAAAAGAAAAUAAAAAAGACAACACACUAAAAGGUUCGUUCCAACAAACCAGCUAAGAACAAAACGAAGAAACUCCGCAAAGAACAAUACAGACGAAGUUAAAACAAAAGAAAAAAGAUAACACGCUAAAAGGUUCGUUCCAACAAACCAGCUAAGAACAAAACGAAGAAACUCGAAAGCCAAAGACGGAGACACUUAUGCGAGUAGUCCACAAAGACGGAGACACUUAUGCGAGUAGUCCACAAAGAAGAAUACACACGGUUCAAACGACACGAUCUAUCUACUGUACGGACGUCGUGUUCAAUACAACUUUGGUUCAGACGACACUUACUAUUCGUUCCAACAAGCCAGCCGAGAACAAAACGAAGAAAGUCUAAAGCUAAACACGGAGUACGAUAGUAAUAGGGUAGUCUCAUCCAUGUGUAGUCUCCUCCAAGUUAGUACAAUACUAAUACCAAAGAUAUUAAAAUAAUAUCUACCUACGAAGAAAAAAGGAACAAACAAGACAUGUUGUUUCACGUGAAAACUAACUAUAAUAAUGUACAAUAAUUUUCACGUCUAACAUCAAAACCAGUGAGUACAUUUUAACUCCCUCAGUAAUUGUCAUCCACCAUUAACUCCAGCAUGUUCCUAUAGAAGUCAAGAACUAUUUCGUAUCACGGUAGACAGAAGGGGGGAAAACAAGACGGUCUAGACCAAGAGAAAUAAAAGAGAUGAACAAGAACAACACUCCAAGAACUACUCAGAGUAUGUCUAACUAUACCACAUGUAAAAACGUUCACACACAUGUCAGACUUGUUCACUAAUCAUAUACCGGCUCCGUCAAAACGCCGCAAAUCAUGUGACGAUAAACUCGUCCGGUCGUUUCUUAACGAAAUCACUAACAACUCGACACAACAUGAAAAAGAAGUGUACUUUACUAGAGAAACAACUAGAAAAAAGGGGCAAAAGAACCUCUCACAACGGAAACGUUACCAAACCGGUAUUUAAAAAACACAACGCUAUCGGUUUAUGACUUGAAAUCUCCCUCUGUAAGCGACAAAAAGUCUUAACUACCUUGAUGUUUUUUAUUGACCGAGACGAAUUAUUAAGACGAAUGUGGGGAUAAACAUUUCUGAAAACAAAUCAUGUGCGAACUAUGGAUCGUGGUCAUGGGGACAAAACAAUAAUGAUGGGGGCAACGAUUUAUAUUCUACAAAAUCAUCAAGUUAAAAUUGACGGUUUUGUAGAACAAAGAUCUUUGUCUCCCACAUAAACUGACGUUCUAAACUAUCGUUUCGUAUGGUCAUUCACCAGGUUUCUUUCCUGAAACAUCACUAGACGACGUCCAAGAGUUCCUGAUGAACGACGGAAACACACACAAAAAUCGGAAGAGUACUAAAUGAAGGAGUGUUUUGAUUCGUCACACCAACUGAAUGUAAUACGAGUCGUAUAGCUGAGACGACGAUUCCACGCGAAAGGUGAGAAAAAUCGAACGAAGACAACGAACAAGAACCUAACGUAGACAAAUAAGCGCCAAUAAAACGAACGUACUAGAUAUUAUAAACAUGCAUAGCUGCUCGUCCCUUGUACUUAAGGUCACUAGGACCAUGGCUAGUACGACGACGUGUGUCAACUAGACAACGAGCUUCAGCAUCAUCUCGUCGUCGUGCAGAAUGCAACAAGUUUUCACGCAACGCCAAACUUUACUAGCAUCCAAUAACAACAUGAAUGUUGCGACGUAAAACACGUUACACUUGAAUACACAUUUAGUGGAGAAAUCCGCGGAACUCAAGACAUGGAUCUAGUAGUAGGAAACCACGUUUGUCAGGAAAAUACCCAUACACGGUAGUUAUGACAUUAAGUUUGUUCAUCUUAUUGUGGGAAAAUUGUGUAGAUAUGGUUAGACUUUUAAAGGAAUCCGCCACCAAAGAAAGGCCAAGACAGUGCAUGUAUGUCGGCCAAUUCCGCUGUAGUCGCUUACGCUUUCUCUUUUUACGCUCACACCGCAGCUUGUCCAGACGGGACGAACACAGCCGAGUGUAGGGUGAUAUUUUUGUUUCGGAUUGAGCAAUACGCGGACACGAUUUAAUAAAGAAAGUAAACAAAAUUCCAAUGGGGAUGGUCUGAUGUAGAUGGUGCGCGAGAGACAAAAGAAGACUGAUGUGUCUCAAGAAUUUUCCAUAGAAACACUAUUUUCCAGUAUAUCAAUGUGUGAAACAUCUUUGUAGAUUAAGUGAGAGAGAUGUUGUAGUAUAUUCUUCUCCAGGAUAGACCCUCGCGGACUUAUGUGUACGGUCAAUACACCGCGAAAGAAAACCAAGGCACUCUCUACAUUAUCUCUUUGUACACACUCACUUGCAGUCUAGCAUAUAUUGGAUACGACGUUUACGCCAUUUGAUAGUUACGGGCGGAAAUUUUUCGGUGGUGGAAAAGACAGUCUUGAUGAAUCCAAACUACCACUAAGUGCAAGAUUCGUUAAGAACCUAUCUUAGUCUGUUAUGUUAAGUGAAAAACGAAAGUGCAGGUACCCUCGCCUAUAAUUAUUUGUAUAAUUGUUUCCACCACCAGGUAUACACAAAUUUAAAGUACCAGUCCAUAUAGUGGCAUAACCUAACGAAGACGGUUUAUCUCCACGGUGAGGUUUCAAACAACUUGAUAUGUAAGUAGUGUGUGUUUUACUCGAAAGUUUAGCUUAAUUACGGCCCUACUGGCUUCUACCACUUUUUCUGUCACCAUAACUAUCUCUGUAUCGACUACCAAAUUACUUCUACGAACUACUCAUAUUAGGAGAAUACGUCUGUAAAUCUUACCGAUCUCUAGCUGAAAUUUUGGUUCCGCUACUUUCUUAACCAUAAUCCUAACAACCACGUCUUUUUUUACUAAGUCAUGUCAUAUUACAGGGACGUACGUUACUUGAACGACCAAAUUAAUAACCACUAAAACCAGAUCUUUUAAUAUUUGCGCUACAAUAACAACUAUCAUACCUCUUUCCAGAUGUGGUACACAGAUCGGAGGUAGGUCGAAAGUACGGUAACAUCAUGGGAAAUAACAAGGGCAUACCAGCUGCUCCUAAAGUCGAGCCGUAUGGAGUGUCUCUCUAUCUGAAUUACGUGAGGCAUCUAUAGUGUUCACUGGAGGGUCAAGGACUCCCAUCUUCGGUACAGAGUUACCGUCUCAUGAUGACGAUGACGAAAGUAAUAUUUUUUCUAGUUAAGUUAGGUAAAGAAACGACACCUUCUAAUAGAAGAGUCAGGGUCCAACUACCAAAACGUUCACAACUUCUUCCGUCCGAUUGUAUGUAUCGUCUCGUAGUUCUACUGAAAUCUACGCUUGUAAAGGUUCCACAACGACUACGGCAACCGGUCCCUGUAGAACUACCAUCGUCAUAUCCAUUUUUCUCUUAAUAGGUACGUCGGAAGUGUCCGUCGCUAACGAUACCUGUCGUUUUAAAAGUUCUACCACAGUGUUAGACAGCACAAAAACCAGGUGGAGUAAAUAAACAGUGGAAGUACACAUUGGGCUUCACCCUACUCUAGUUUCUACGGGAACAUAAAAUCGGAUCUGUUUUUAUGUGUCUAGCUAGACUAGAGCACACAGCUCACAAGUUCGAGUUCGACCUCGUAAAGUACUUUCCCUAGUACUUCCCAGCUUGAAAACCAGGACAAACGUGCCCAUGGAUAAGAGGGGUGUUGACUAAACAGUUGUUGAGGCAUCGAGAUGUGAGUAAUCCGAUUAUGAAGGUAAGUUAACUAUAUAUCACAAUGUCUCACACCUCAAAGUCUUCGCGCUAGACGGUGUGUAUGUACAGGAGUAGACCGAACUUCCAUCCUGUCCACCUCCGGAUUGGCUGGAACGUCUAUGUAUGUAGAAUCGGCUCUAAGAGCUAGGUCAUCAUCUAGGAGAACCGAUACGGAAUCAGCUUCUAAAAUACUACGUACCGGGCACACCAAAUCGAUUAUUUUUGACGGGAACGUACUUUCUAUUCCACACGUGUUUUUUACAGGUUUUGUUAAAGUCUCACUCUCGUGACAACUGCUAUUCCCAAAACAGUACAUAUCCGCAGCACUAAGACCAUAUUUUUAUUUGUUUUUCCCAUGACUAGAACUAUUGUCUGUACAACAAGGUAUAACGUACUUUGAGAAUUUCUUUAAGGUUCGAGUGUAGGUACAUCUCACCACGUUGUUUUCACUCCACAAUUUCAUGGACAAGUUCAUGCACUGGUUCCCUUGUCUGGCAAGUUUACAACAAAAGUGUUUUAUGUUUUUCUCCUUUGUACCACCACCACUACUGCAAUCACUGCACGGUCUCUGAAGAAGACGACGUUUUGCAUGUUUCAAACUUGAAUCCCCUUUAAUCCACGAUUUUUAUACUUUAUCUACUCUGUUUAUUGAAAGACUUUCGAGCUAUAGAAACACUGUUUGUUCGAUAAACCGUUUACAUACCGAUACUGUAGGUGGUGAUAAUAGGGGAACAACUCGCAGAACGAACAGUAGAAGGUUUGUACUUGUUACAAUAGAAAUUUAGCUGAUGAUCGAAUGGUAGUAAUCAAAGAUGUGGAAAGGAAGUUGCUUGUUGUGACUGGCGUACCAAGCUUCGCUUACGUCUCAAAGGUGUCCCAUCUACAGAUUGUAUAACACUCAUGGGUGUUGUAAAACAAAUCUAAAAUCUCGCGGCAUUCACCCUACUUUCUACUGUACCAUGUUUCUAUCCAGCAUACAUGGUGCACGGAGGUCUACGACCACUGACAAUAAUGGACACUUACGAAGAAUACAUACAGUUUCGUCGACUCAGCAUGCUUCUACCUAAGUGAGUGAAAAGCAAUACUACAAAUAGAUGACACCAUAUCCACUGCUUGCACCCAAAAAACUUUUUAUAACCGCUCGAUACCCGCUGCGUCAAGUUUAUUAUACAGUAUGUUACACGGACUACUGAGAAAUUUUCUGUACCAAAAUGUCCUUGAUGUACUCAACAAGAAUUUUUUACCAGUAUCGGGUAGUUUAAUGUUGAAAGGAGGAGAAUGACCAUCGUGAAGUUCACGUAAACUUUUAUCUAACCAACCACUUCUUGACAGUAUAUUACAUGGCUUCGAUAAUCAACUCUCGGGUGCGGACAUACUUGCAGAUUUAUUACUGGUUGUGUGACGAAUGGUAGCAUAACAGCUAUUACACUGGUAACCUGGUGGUCGAGACAUGAAACACACACCCAUACCACCUUGACCCUUUUGGAAGGAUACCUGAAGAUAGUGGCGUAUGGAUGCUAGGGUUGUAAACCAACAAGAAUGUAAAGUAGAAGGCCGCAGCGUGGGAACGAAGAAGGUCCACCAUCUUGUCGUGUAAGUGUUAAAUUUUAUAGCUAACUGUAUCUACUUUGGCGGCAAACACUAUACUUUGUGCCAAGUUACGAACGCACUAACUAGUUCAAUCGAAGUGAAUAUUAUACCCUGCUCCGGGAUUACUCGGUAGCCGCAACGAAACUUCGUCAACUAUCUAGAUACGCACUACACGAAAGACUUCUAUUGACAACCCCUAUAAUGAUAGUCAAUACUGGGCGGGUCCUCCCCGGCCCAGUCGGGGUUACCGCCCAAUGUGUUCUUCGGGUCAUUUGUAAGUUCUAAUAUCAAAUAAUUUAUAAUAUCUUCCGGGUUUCCGGACUUCCGCCAAAUUCCGGACUAUAACACUUGGUAGCAUACAUGCCUUUCUGAACAUUUCUUUCUGUACAUUUCCUUCAGUGGCUCGGCCUGUGCUAAUACUCGGCCGGCCCUGAGACAUCCGGUGGUCCGCAGUUGGGUACAUAUAUUCCCCUGCUGGGCCACCGCCGAAUCCCGUUCUUUGUUGUUCAGCUACUGGUUCAGCCGUUCAACUCGGAGAACCACUAGCUUUGGGGUCGUUAUGG